RNAcentral lists this ribosomal RNA (725 nucleotides) under Micronematomyces caribensis. RNAcentral describes it as "eukaryotic LSU rRNA". It matches the Rfam family "Eukaryotic large subunit ribosomal RNA", at positions 111 to 867 of the family's 3401-position model. Lineage: Eukaryota; Fungi; Ascomycota; Dothideomycetes; Mycosphaerellales; Mycosphaerellaceae. The record is from RNAcentral.
AAAUUUGAAAUCUGGCGCAAGCCCGAGUUGUAAUUUGUAGAGGAUGCUUCUGGCCAGCGGCCGUUCUAAGUUCCUUGGAACAGGACGUCAUAGAGGGUGAGAAUCCCGUAUGUGACCGGCGCGCAGCCUUUACGUAGCUCCUUCGACGAGUCGAGUUGUUUGGGAAUGCAGCUCUAAAUGGGAGGUAAAUUUCUUCUAAAGCUAAAUACCGGCCAGAGACCGAUAGCGCACAAGUAGAGUGAUCGAAAGAUGAAAAGCACUUUGGAAAGAGAGUUAAAAAGCACGUGAAAUUGUUGAAAGGGAAGCGCUUGCAACCAGACUUUGCGGCGAUGUUCCGCCGGUCUUCUGACCGGUCUACUCAUCGUCGCGAGGCCAACAUCGUCUGGGACCGCUGGAUAAGACCUAAGGAAUGUGGCUUCCCUCGGGAAGUGUUAUAGCCUGUGGUGAUGCAGCGCGUCUCGGGCGAGGUCCGCGCUUCGGCAAGGAUGUUGGCGUAAUGGUUGUCAGCGGCCCGUCUUGAAACACGGACCAAGGAGUCUAACAUCUAUGCGAGUGUUCGGGUGUCAAACCCCUACGCGUAAUGAAAGUGAACGGAGGUGGGAAGCGCAAGCUGCACCAUCGACCGAUCCUGAUGUCUUCGGAUGGAUUUGAGUAAGAGCAUAGCUGUUGGGACCCGAAAGAUGGUGAACUAUGCCUGAAUAGGGUGAAGCCAGAGGAAACUCUGG